This 2059-nucleotide long non-coding RNA is filed under the name Homo sapiens (human). RNAcentral describes it as "HSALNT0290161". The record is from RNAcentral. Lineage: Eukaryota; Metazoa; Chordata; Mammalia; Primates; Hominidae.
UCACGCCUGUAAUCCCAGCAGUUUGGGAGGCCGAGGUGGGUGGAUCACAAGGUCAGGAGAUCGAGACCAUCCUGGCUAACACAGUGAAACCCCAUCUCUACUAAAAAUACAAAAAAUUAGCCGGGCGUAGUGGCGGGCGCCUGUAGUCCCAGCUACUUGGGAGGCUGAGGCAGGAGAAAGGCGUGAACCCCGGGAGGCGGAGCUUGCAGUGAGCCGAGAUUUUGCCACUGCACUCCAGCCUGGGUGACAGAGCAAGACUCUGUCUCAAAAAAAAAAAAAAAAAAAAAAAUCAAGGCCGGGCACAGUGGCUCAUGCCAGUAAUCCCAGCACUUUGGGAGGCUGAGGCUCAUGGAUCACUUGAGGUCAGGAGUUUGAGACCAGCCUGGCCAACAUGUUAAAACCCUGUCUCUACUAAAAAUACAAAAAUUAGCCAGGCAUGGUGGUGGGCAUCUGUAAUCCCAGCUACUCAGAAGGCUGAGACAGGAGAAUCGCUUGAAUCCAGGAGGUGGAAGUUGCAGUGAGCUGAGAUCACACCAUUGCACUCCAGCCUGGGCAACAGAGCAAGACUCCAUCUCAAAAAAAAAAAAAAAGAAAGAAAUCAAAAAGCAGCACCGCCCCACCCAAAAAAAAAUCCAUGAGUAGUUAUUUAAUAAUCUGUAUCUGAUUUCUCCAAAAUCCUAAAGAGGCCUAAGUCUGUUGUUCAUAGUUUCUCAUUCAUCAUGGCUGGCUUCCUUGUGUGUUUGGAAAUUAUGUAUCAUGAGGCUGUGCUUUGUUGAACUUAAUAAGUGUAAUCUCAAGGGCUAAACUGGGAAUGUUUUCCUCCAGACAGGAGUGACUGGUGAGACAGUCAGCUACAAAAUGGAAAAAAACAAAUAUGACAAAAUGCCAAGGGGCCUAACACCACGGAAGCAAUAAGGGCUGCAGGAAAUGAAAAGAGAGAUAUCUGAGGUGGUAUUAAAGGUAGUGAAAGAGAUGGGUCGGUAUGUGAUGAAGAUCCUUUUCUUUAGAAAAGAAUUCUUCUCACAGUCACGUGGUCACAGGAUUGUUACUUUAGAAUCCCUUCCAACAUGUCUGGACCACAUUAGCCAGGAAAAAGAACUUUAACAUAGAGGACACAAACACAGGGCGUGCAGUAGCGCCAGAAUCUUUGUAUAGGAGGCUCAGAGGAGCAGCAAGAUCGAAACAGACACCCAGGGCGGGGCGCAGUGGCUCACGCCUGUAAUCCCAAGCACUUUAGGAGGCUGAGGUGGGUGGAUCACUUGAGGUCAGGAGUUUGAGACCAGCCUGGCCAACAUGGUGAAACACUGUUUCUACUAAAAAUACAAAAAUUAGCUGGGGGUGGUGGUGGGUGCCUGUAAUCCCAGCUACUCGAGAGGCUGAGGUGGGAGAAUCACUUGAACCCAGGAGGUGAAGGUUGCAGUGAGCCUGAAUCGUGGCACUGCACUCCAGCCUGGGCAACAGAACAAGACUCCGUCUCAAAAGAAGAAAGAAAGAAAAAGAGAGAAAAAAAGAAAGAGAGAGAGACAGAGAAAGAGAAAGACCCAGAACGCUUGCCUUACAACUCUAUGCUUAAUAAUCUGUAUCUGGCCAGGCGGGAUGGCUCAUGCCUGCAACCCCAGCACUUUGGAAGGCCAAGGCAGGUGGAUCAUCUGAGGUCAGGGGUUCGAGACCAGCCUGGCUAACAUGGCAAAACCCCAUCUCAACUAAAAAUACAAAAAUUAGCCGGGCAUGGUGUUGCACGCCUGUAAUCCCAGCUACUUGGGAGGCUGAGGCAGGAGAAUCGCAGAGGUUUCAGUGAGCCAAGAUCAUGCCACUGCACUCCAGCCUGGGCAACAGAGACUCCAUCUCAAAAAUAAUUAAUUAAUUAAUUAAUUAAUAAAAUAAUCUGUAUCUGAUCACUCCAAAAACCUGAGAUGGCCUAAGUCUGUCAUUCAUAGUUUCUGCUGAUUCUCACUCAUGAUGGCUGGUGUGUUUGGAAAUUGUAUUUAAUAUACCUUGAGUUCGUACUUAGUUGAACUUAAUAUGUGUAAUCUCGAGGGCUAAAUUAGAGAUGUUUUCC